Molecule: ribosomal RNA, 253 nt
Filed under: uncultured bacterium
Lineage: Bacteria
Description: partial 16S ribosomal RNA
Rfam family: Bacterial small subunit ribosomal RNA
Source: RNAcentral
UACGUAGGUGGCAAGCGUUGUCCGGAAUUACUGGGUGUAAAGGGCGUGUAGACGGGGAUGCAAGUCAGAUGUGAAAUUCCAGGGCUCAACCCUGGCGCUGCAUCUGAAACUGUGUCUCUUGAGUGCUGGAGGGGAAAGCGGAAUUCCUAGUGUAGCGGUGAAAUGCGUAGAUAUUAGGAGGAACACCAGUGGCGAAGGCGGCUUUCUGGACAGUAACUGACGUUGAGGCGCGAAAGCGUGGGGAGCAAACAGG